This 463-nucleotide ribosomal RNA is filed under the name Legionella pneumophila. RNAcentral describes it as "partial 23S ribosomal RNA". It matches the Rfam family "Bacterial large subunit ribosomal RNA", at positions 1 to 495 of the family's 2925-position model. The record is from RNAcentral. Lineage: Bacteria; Pseudomonadati; Pseudomonadota; Gammaproteobacteria; Legionellales; Legionellaceae.
UUAUAUGGUCAAGAAGAGAAGCGCAAACGGUGGAUGCCUUGGCAGUAAGAGGCGAAGAAGGACGUGGAAUCCUGCGAAAAGCUAUGGGGAGCUGGAAACGAGCGUUGAGCCAUAGAUGUCCGAAUGGGGGAACCCGGCUGCAGCGAUGCGGUCAUUUGCAUUUGAAUACAUAGGAUGCAAAGGCGAACUCGGGGAACUGAAACAUCUAAGUACCCGAAGGAAAAGAAAUCAAGAGAGAUUCUCCAAGUAGCGGCGAGCGAACGGGGAGGAGCCUGGCGUGAUUUAUUAUUGAACUGAGUAGAACAAUUUGGGAAAGUUGGCGAUAGAGGGUGAAAGCCCCGUAUACGAAGGUUUGAUGAGGAACUAGGCACGCGAACAAGUAGGCCGGGACACGUGAAAUCCUGGUUGAAGAUGGGUGGACCAUCAUCCAAGGCUAAAUACUACUUACUGACCGAUAGUGAAC